CCUACGGGUGGCAGCAGUGGGGAAUAUUGGACAAUGGGCGAGAGCCUGAUCCAGCCAUGCCGCGUGUGUGAAGAAGGCCUUCGGGUUGUAAAGCACUUUCAGUGGGGAAGAAAGCCUUGGGGCUAAUACCCUCGAGGAAGGACAUCACCCACAGAAGAAGCACCGGCUAACUCCGUGCCAGCAGCCGCGGUAAUACGGAGGGUGCGAGCGUUAAUCGGAAUUACUGGGCGUAAAGCGCGCGUAGGCGGUCUGAUAAGCCGGUUGUGAAAGCCCCGGGCUCAACCUGGGAACGGCAUCCGGAACUGUCAGGCUAGAGUGCAGGAGAGGAAGGUAGAAUUCCCGGUGUAGCGGUGAAAUGCGUAGAGAUCGGGAGGAAUACCAGUGGCGAAGGCGGCCUUCUGGACUGACACUGACGCUGAGGUGCGAAAGCGUGGGUAGCAAACAGGAUUAGAUACCCGUGUAGUC
Molecule: ribosomal RNA, 465 nt
Filed under: Vreelandella stevensii
Lineage: Bacteria; Pseudomonadati; Pseudomonadota; Gammaproteobacteria; Oceanospirillales; Halomonadaceae
Description: partial 16S ribosomal RNA
Rfam family: Bacterial small subunit ribosomal RNA
Source: RNAcentral